AUGUUGAUGAUUCCUAGUGUGCUGAUGCGAAAAUGUUUGCUCAAGUUUAUUAUUAAAUCGUAUGCAAUGGACAGAAAAAGGUUCAUCAUGCCAUCAAAAAACGGUGCGAUUUCAUUGCGCAUCGAAGAUGUGUAUGACAUUUUUGGGCUACAGAACAAGGGCAAAGAUGCCAUGAAAGCCCUAGGUAAAGGGGGGUUAAAGGCGAAGGUGAAGGUGCCUAGUCGUUUUGUAGAUUCGAAAAUGGGGCAAAUGAUGAUAGACGAUCUGAUUGACAACAUCGUUGCCAGUGGCACGUACGAUGAUGAUUUCCUCCGUAGAAUUGUUCUGGUUCUUCUGGGCACGGUUCUUGCACCGCAGUCCACCAGAGAAGUUCCUAAUGCUUACUACAAGUUAGUGCACGAUGUGGAGGCCAUCAAAUCAUAUAAUUGGAACGCAUUUACUUUACGCGUUUGCGUGGAAGGCAUCACAAAGACCUUGUCAGAUCUUGAAAAAUUUACUUGGCCGAUCGGAAACCUUGCCCUCAUACAGUACAUGUUUUGGGAGAAAGUGCAGCCACUGGAUGAAGAGGCAUUUGAUCCACUAGCUCAUGAGUAUCCGUUGAUGGUCAAUUGGUCAGAAGAUGAGGCUAUGAAGCGUGACGCAUACGACACGGCAUACGGCCGUGGUAAUGGGACGAUUGAUGACGUGAUAAGUGAGAAGUACAGA
Molecule: ribosomal RNA, 705 nt
Filed under: Triticum aestivum (bread wheat)
Lineage: Eukaryota; Viridiplantae; Streptophyta; Magnoliopsida; Poales; Poaceae
Description: partial small subunit ribosomal RNA
Source: RNAcentral